ACUUAAAUAGUUUAAAUAAAAUAUCAGUUUGUGGAAUUGGAGAUAUAAAAAUUUAUUUUAAGUA
RNAcentral lists this transfer RNA (64 nucleotides) under Dichotrachelus manueli. Its description in RNAcentral is "tRNA-His". Lineage: Eukaryota; Metazoa; Arthropoda; Insecta; Coleoptera; Curculionidae. The record is from RNAcentral.